GACGAACGCUGGCGGCGUGCCUAAUACAUGCGAGUAGAACGCUGAAGGAGGAGCUUGCUUCUCUGGAUGAGUUGCGAACGGGUGAGUAACGCGUAGGUAACCUGCCUGGUAGCGGGGGAUAACUAUUGGAAACGAUAGCUAAUACCGCAUAAUAGUAGAUGUUGCAUGACAUUUACUUAAAAGGUGCAAUUGCAUCACUACCAGAUGGACCUGCGUUGUAUUAGCUAGUUGGUGGGGUAACGGCUCACCAAGGCGACGAUACAUAGCCGACCUGAGAGGGGGAUCGGCCACACUGGGACUGAGACACGGCCCAGACUCCUACGGGAGGCAGCAGUAGGGAAUCUUCGGCAAUGGACGAAAGUCUGACCGAGCAACGCCGCGUGAGUGAAGAAGGUUUUCGGAUCGUAAAGCUCUGUUGUAAGAGAAGAACGAGUGUGAGAGUGGAAAGUUCACACUGUGACGGUAUCUUACCAGAAAGGGACGGCUAACUACGUG
RNAcentral lists this ribosomal RNA (495 nucleotides) under uncultured bacterium. RNAcentral describes it as "partial 16S ribosomal RNA". It matches the Rfam family "Bacterial small subunit ribosomal RNA", at positions 28 to 507 of the family's 1533-position model. The record is from RNAcentral.